GCGUUCAAGACACUAUCCGAAAGGGUAAAUAAGGGUGAUGAGCACGACGCGUUUCGUGACAAAAAAAAAUGUCUAAAUAUUCCAUUACCGUACUUCGAAGCAUGUCAACCGCUGUUUAAACAUCAAUUUUUAUGCCAUUUUUCUCAUAAAAAAAGCGAUAAUAUUCCGGCCGGGAAAAUCGUCUUUUAGUACAAAGAGAGAGAAAGUAAAAGCAUGGGAUCCCCUCGUGCACGAGCCUCAGUCUGAUGUCCCUCUGAUCGACCACCAUCCAAACGCGCUAAAUGUGUUUCAGCCUGGGGCUGGAAUUACAUCGUUCAGCUUUUUCCCGCCUUCUGAGAGCCCAUGGGAGCCGUAGGAAGUGUCACGUUACGGCAAAGAUCCUCAGUCUUCAAUAAACAGAGUCAAGAAGCUCAAGGAAUGGUCAGACAGGCCAUUUCCUGUAAGGAAUCUUCUCAGGUUUUUGCCUGCCAUAUGAGGUCUGUUAUACUCACAGACACCAUUCAGUUUUAGAAACUUUAGGGUGUUUUCUAUCCAAAGCCAAUAAUUAUAUGCAUAUUCUAGUUACUGGGCAGGAGUAGUAACCAGAUUAAAUCGGGUACGUUUUUAUCCGGCCGUGCAAAUACUGCCCCCUAUCCCCAACAGGUUAACAAGACAGGUAUCAAAAUUAUUGGCACCCUGUGGUGCUGUCAGGGGCCAACCCUCCUACCACGCCCUCACCAGCACCACAAGCCAUGUCAUUCGCUCUUGAACGCGCCCAUUGGCUUGAAAAUGAAAGUCUUUGACCUGCUCAUUUUAAUGCAACCUACGACGACUUGAUCAGAGCCUACAACUAUAUAAUUUAUCUGCGAUCCCAGAGAUUUGCCAAGGAUCCCAAAUCCUUGUAAUCAAAUGUAAAAUCACAUGUUUUAAUGUUGGUCCUUUGUCCAGUAUCUCAGUUGGUAGAGCAUGGCAUUGGUAUCACUAGGGUAGUGGGUUCAAUUACCAGGACCUCCCAUAUGAUAAAUGUGUCCACUCAUCACUGUAAAAGUGUGUGCAAAGCUGUCAUCAAGACAAAGGGUGGCUACUUCAAAAGAAUCUAAAAUAUAUUUUGAUUUGUUUAACACUUUUUUGGGUUACUACAUGAUUCCAUCUGUGUUAUUUCAUAGGUUUGAUGUCUUCACUAUUAUUCUACAAUGUAGAAAAUAGUUUAAAAAUAAUGAAAAACCCUUGAAUGAGUAGGUGUUCUAAAACUUUUGUCCGGCAGCGUAUAUGUGAAGUGGGUAAAACAGUAUGUAAACAUGAUUAAAGUGACCAUUGUUCAAUGACUCAUAGGGCAGCAGUCUCUAAGGUGCAGGGUAGAGUACCAGGUGGUAGCCGACUGUUAACAGGGACUAAAGUUCAUGGCAGGGUACUGGGUGGAGGCUGGCUAAUGGUGACUAUUUAACAGUCUGAUGGCCUUGAGGUAGAAAAUGUUUUUCAGUCUCUCUGUCCCAGCUUUGAUGUUAUUGUACUGUCUCCUCCUUCUAGAUGGUAGAGGGGUGAACAGGCCGUGGCUCGGGUGGCUGAGGUCCUUGAUGAUCUUCUAGAUGGUAGCAGGGUGAACAGGCCGUGGCUCGGGUGGCUGAGGUCCUUGAUGAUCUUCUAGAUGGUAGAGGGGUGAACAGGCUGUGGCUCGGGGUGGCUGAGGUCCUUGAUGAUCUUCUAGAUGGUAGAGGGGUGAACAGGCUGUGGCUCGGGGUGGCUGAGGUCCUUGAUGAUCUUCUAGAUGGUAGAGGGGUGAACAGACUGUGGCUCGGGGUGGCUGAGGUCCUUGAUGAUCUUCUAGAUGGUAGAGGGGUGAACAGGCUGUGGCUCGGGGUGGCUGAGGUCCUUGAUGAUCUUCUAGAUGGUAGCAGGGUGAACAGGCCGUGGCUCGGGGUGGCUGAGGUCAUUGAUGAUCUUGAUUUUGUGCCUUGCGAACUCCGCCUCCAGCAAGAGAUCAACCUCUGACAGUGUGCCAGAAGAAACGGGAGGAUGGAGCCAAAAGAAAUGGACGGUGAGUGGAUCUAAACUCAUGGAGCUUUUCCAAACCUGCCAGCAGGUGGAGCUGUCGUGACUGAUAGAAGAACCACCACUUGCUGUUUAACCUGUCAAGGUAUAGGGGGCAGUAUUUUCGAUUUCGGAUGAAAAGCGUGCCCAGAGUAAACAGCCUAAUACUCGGGCCCAGAGUCAGAUAUUUGCAUAUUAUUAGUAGAUUUGGAUAGAAAACACUCUGAAGUUUCUAAAACUGUUUGAAUGGUGUCUGUGAGUAUAACAGAACUCAUAUGGCAGGCCAAAACCUGAGAAGACACAUCCUUUUCACUGGAUACAUACAGGGAAAUUGCUGAUUGGGUCACACUGCUGAACCUCCAGGUGCCCAAGACAACAACCUUCUAGGAAAUACAGUUACAUGCUUCCAGUUAUUGGGAAAGGGAAAUGGGGAUACCUAGUCAGUUGGAAAGGGAAAUGGGGGAUACCUAGUCAGUUGGAAAGGGAAAUGGGGAUACC
RNAcentral lists this long non-coding RNA (2505 nucleotides) under Salmo salar (Atlantic salmon). RNAcentral describes it as "lncRNA (ENSSSAG00000120985.1)". Lineage: Eukaryota; Metazoa; Chordata; Actinopteri; Salmoniformes; Salmonidae. The record is from RNAcentral.